RNAcentral lists this ribosomal RNA (498 nucleotides) under uncultured bacterium. Its description in RNAcentral is "partial 16S ribosomal RNA". It matches the Rfam family "Bacterial small subunit ribosomal RNA", at positions 899 to 1397 of the family's 1533-position model. The record is from RNAcentral.
ACUCAAAGGAAUAGACGGGGGCCCGCACAAGCGGCGGAGCAUGUGGAUUAAUUCGAUGCAACGCGAAGAACCUUACCUGGGUUUGACAUGCACCAGACGCAGUCAGAGAUGGCUGUUCCCUUGUGGUUGGUGUGCAGGUGGUGCAUGGCUGUCGUCAGCUCGUGUCGUGAGAUGUUGGGUUAAGUCCCGCAACGAGCGCAACCCUCGUUCCAUGUUGCCAGCGCGUGAUGGCGGGGACUCAUGGGAGACUGCCGGGGUCAACUCGGAGGAAGGUGGGGAUGACGUCAAGUCAUCAUGCCCCUUAUGUCCAGGGCUUCACACAUGCUACAAUGGCAGGUACAGAGGGCUGCGAGACCGCAAGGUGGAGCGAAUCCCUUAAAGCUUGUCUCAGUUCGGAUUGGGGUCUGCAACUCGACCCCAUGAAGUCGGAGUCGCUAGUAAUCGCAGAUCAGCAACGCUGCGGUGAAUACGUUCCCGGGCCUUGCACACACCGCCCGU